UCCCUGGUGGUCUAGUAGCUAAGACUCCGCACUUCCAAAGCAGGGGGCCCGGGUUCGAUCCCUGGUAGGGGAU
This 73-nucleotide transfer RNA is filed under the name Bos indicus (zebu cattle). It matches the Rfam family "tRNA". From Rfam's summary of the family: Transfer RNA (tRNA) molecules are approximately 80 nucleotides in length. Their secondary structure includes four short double-helical elements and three loops (D, anti-codon, and T loops). Further hydrogen bonds mediate the characteristic L-shaped molecular structure. tRNAs have two regions of fundamental functional importance: the anti-codon, which is responsible for specific mRNA codon recognition, and the 3' end, to which the tRNAs corresponding amino acid is attached (by aminoacyl-tRNA synthetases). tRNAs cope with the degeneracy of the genetic code in two manners: having more than one tRNA (with a specific anti-codon) for a particular amino acid; and 'wobble' base-pairing, i.e. permitting non-standard base-pairing at the 3rd anti-codon position. RNAcentral also lists the same sequence under 4 other names. The record is from Rfam by way of RNAcentral. Lineage: Eukaryota; Metazoa; Chordata; Mammalia; Artiodactyla; Bovidae.